GUGGAGCAUGUGGUUUAAUUCGAAGCAACGCGAAGAACCUUACCUACUCUUGACAUUCCAGUGAACUUAGCAGAGAUGCUUUGGUGCCUUCGGGAACACUGAGACAGGUGCUGCAUGGCUGUCGUCAGCUCGUGUUGUGAAAUGUUGGGUUAAGUCCCGUAACGAGCGCAACCCUUGUCCUUAGUUACCAUCAUUAAGUUGGGGACUCUAAGGAGACUGCCGGUGACAAACCGGAGGAAGGCGGGGACGACGUCAAGUCAUCAUGGCCCUUACGAGUAGGGCUACACACGUGCUACAAUGGCAUGUACAGAGGGCAGCAAUGCCGCGAGGUGGAGCGAAUCCCACAAAGCUUGUCGUAGUCCGGAUCGGAGUCUACAACUCGACUCCGUGAAGUCGGAAUCGCUAGUAAUCGUGGAUCAGAAUGCCACGGUGAAUACGUUCCCGGGCCUUGUACACACCGCCCGUCACA
This 469-nucleotide ribosomal RNA is filed under the name uncultured Oceanospirillales bacterium. RNAcentral's name for it is "bacterial SSU rRNA". It matches the Rfam family "Bacterial small subunit ribosomal RNA", at positions 932 to 1401 of the family's 1533-position model. The record is from RNAcentral. Lineage: Bacteria; Pseudomonadati; Pseudomonadota; Gammaproteobacteria; Oceanospirillales.